RNAcentral lists this ribosomal RNA (222 nucleotides) under Lachnospiraceae bacterium. RNAcentral's name for it is "partial 23S ribosomal RNA". It matches the Rfam family "Bacterial large subunit ribosomal RNA", at positions 2699 to 2925 of the family's 2925-position model. Lineage: Bacteria; Bacillati; Bacillota; Clostridia; Lachnospirales; Lachnospiraceae. The record is from RNAcentral.
GGACGGACCGCUGGUGUAUCUGUUGGGAACCAGUCCCAUGGCAGAGUAGCCAAGUCCGGACGGGAUAAACGCUGAAGGCAUCUAAGCGUGAAGCCCCCCUCAAGAUGAGAUAUCCGAAUUGUAAGAUGAAGGUCCCUUGGAGAGUACGAGGUAGAUAGGCCUGGGGUGUAAGCAUAGAGAUAUGUUCAGCUGACAGGUACUAAUAGACCGGAAGCUUGACCA